RNAcentral lists this unclassified non-coding RNA (90 nucleotides) under Pseudomonas gessardii. The record is from RNAcentral. Lineage: Bacteria; Pseudomonadati; Pseudomonadota; Gammaproteobacteria; Pseudomonadales; Pseudomonadaceae.
UGUAGGAGCGGGCUUGCCCGCGAUGGCGGUGUGUCAGAAGACACAUGAGUUGGCUGACCCACUGCCAUCGCGGGCAAGCCCGCUCCCACA